AACGAACGCUGGCGGCAUGCCUAACACAUGCAAGUCGAACGAGACCUUCGGGUCUAGUGGCGCACGGGUGCGUAACGCGUGGGAACCUGCCCUUAGGUUCGGAAUAACUCCCCGAAAGGGGUGCUAAUACCGGAUAAUGUCUUCGGACCAAAGAUUUAUCGCCUUUUGAUGGGCCCGCGUUGGAUUAGCUAGUUGGUAGGGUAAAAGCCUACCAAGGCGACGAUCCAUAGCUGGUCUGAGAGGAUGAUCAGCCACACUGGGACUGAGACACGGCCCAGACUCCUACGGGAGGCAGCAGUGGGGAAGAUUGGACAAUGGGCGAAAGCCUGAUCCAGCAAUGCCGCGUGAGUGAUGAAGGCCUUAGGGUUGUAAAGCUCUUUUACCCGGGAUGAUAAUGACAGUACCGGGAGAAUAAGCUCCGGCUAACUCCGUG
This 433-nucleotide ribosomal RNA is filed under the name uncultured bacterium. RNAcentral's name for it is "partial 16S ribosomal RNA". It matches the Rfam family "Bacterial small subunit ribosomal RNA", at positions 29 to 507 of the family's 1533-position model. The record is from RNAcentral.